RNAcentral lists this ribosomal RNA (468 nucleotides) under uncultured bacterium. RNAcentral describes it as "partial 16S ribosomal RNA". It matches the Rfam family "Bacterial small subunit ribosomal RNA", at positions 28 to 507 of the family's 1533-position model. The record is from RNAcentral.
GACGAACGCUGGCGGCGUGCUUAACACAUGCAAGUCGAACGGAAAGGCCCUGCUUUUGUGGGGUGCUCGAGUGGCGAACGGGUGAGUAACACGUGAGUAACCUGCCCUUGACUUUGGGAUAACUUCAGGAAACUGGGGCUAAUACCGGAUAGGAGCUCCUGCUGCAUGGUGGGGGUUGGAACGUUUCGGCGGUUGGGGAUGGACUCGCGGCUUAUCAGCUUGUUGGUGGGGUAGUGGCUUACCAAGGCUUUGACGGGUAGCCGGCCUGAGAGGGUGACCGGCCACAUUGGGACUGAGAUACGGCCCAGACUCCUACGGGAGGCAGCAGUGGGGAAUAUUGCACAAUGGGCGGAAGCCUGAUGCAGCAACGCCGCGUGCGGGAUGACGGCCUUCGGGGUGUAAACCGCUUUCGCCUGUGACGAAGCGUGAGUGACGGUAAUGGGUAAAGAAGCACCGGCUAACUACGUG